GGCCUCCUAGGCAACAUCAAGGUCCUUUCACAAAUUAUAACAUAUUUUGAUUUUUCUACAUAUAUUAAUUUUGCAAUAUGUAUAGAUAUACAAUUUUGUUUAGAUAUAUAGUAAAUUCAAUUUAAAAAAGUCAAUUACAUUUUCCAUGGCUAUGCAGCGCAACUUAUUAGUUCAUUUGGUUUAUUGUACUGAGUUUAUCUAAAUUCUCUUUUUAUGUAUAGGCUACUAACUUACGAGAUUAAGUUAGUGUAUAAAGUUAUAUAAGUAACUUGUGUUUUUCAUGUGCUGCAUGCUAGCUAACUUAUUUAUCUAAGUUACUAUUAAUAGUAAUGCAUCUAACUUGUGUUUUGUAUCUGUUAUUUUUAAAUUUUAUAAUUUAAUUAUUUUACAGAUCUACGAAUUGAAGAAACAAAUGUUGAGAUUAUCGCUGCACAAGUUUAAAAAGCAUUUAUUUUAUCUUGAUUUUCCAAGGGUGCAUCAUCAUUCUAUGGAAUGUAUUAUGUAGUAUAAGUUGUAAAAGUUACUUUUAUUUCAUCCCCCACCUUUUUUUAAACCCUCUUCCCAUUUCCCAAAUGUUUACUUUUCCAAAAAGAGAGAAAAAACGACUCUUCAAACCUAAAAGAGAAUGCAGGAGAACGACUAAGUUAGCAAUGUUGAGCUAUUUCUCGAACUUAUGUUGUCUAGAAGCACUUUUAAGUUAGUACUGUUAAAUUUAUCAUGAAAAUUAUGCUUUUUAAUGUUGUUUUAUAAGUUAUGAGGACAUGCUUCUUAAAAAAUAAAAAAAAUAUUUAAGGACAGGUGAUCCAGUAAAAGAAAGUAAAAAAAGAAUCGAAUGCCUUAAAAGAAAAAAAAUAAAUGAUUCCCUGUUCUGUCCAGAAAUAGAAAGUAACAUAUGCACUGCCCAAAAAAAGAAAGAGAAUAGUUGUCGGAAAUUGACUGUUGCUUUCAUUUCCACUGAACGUUCGUAGAAUAGUGGUGCCGAUGGCCUACUUCAACCAUAUCACACAAUUUACCUUUAUGUAUUGUGAGUUUUGUAUCUAUGUAGCAUCCUUUUUCAACAUGUUAUUUGUGUUUUUCUCAUAGGUUGUACCAUGUCGGUCGUCUUGGAAGCCUUCCAAGAAAUAAUUGAUUUGGCCAAGAGUAAGGAAAUUGUUAUAUUUUUUGACUACGAUGAGAUCCCGUAACCAAUAUUCUAUGACCCUCAAAAGUAAUAUAUGUCCUAUGAAGUAAAUAAAAUAAGUUGAAAAAUAAUAUUCUUUAUACUGUUAAUAUUCCUUCAUCUCAUGCCAGUUUUCAAUAUAACACUACUACAGAAUGAGGCAUUGGUCGAUGCCCAAAAUGGCCAAAAACCUCGGCCUUUUUGCGGCCGGGGUUAAAGGCCCCUUUAACACCGGUUCGUAACACGAACCGGUGCUAAAGGGUCCUGCCCAACGGCUACUGACAGGUGCUGUCGGGGCAGAGACCCUUUAGAACCGGUUCGUGUUACCAACCGGUGCUAAAGGGUCCCCUUUAGCACUGGCCAGCGCCACGGGCCGAGGCAAAGCCUUUAGCACCGGUUUGUGUUACAAACCGGUGCUAAAGGGUGACCUUUAGCACUGCCCAAAAAAAGAAAGAGAAUAGUUGUCGGAAAUUGACUGUUGCUUUCAUUUCCACUGAACGUUCGUAGAAUAGUGGUGCCGAUGGCCUACUUCAACCAUAUCACACAAUUUACCUUUAUGUAUUGUGAGUUUUGUAUCUAUGUAGCAUCCUUUUUCAACAUGUUAUUUGUGUUUUUCUCAUAGGUUGUACCAUGUCGGUCGUCUUGGAAGCCUUCCAAGAAAUAAUUGAUUUGGCCAAGAGUAAGGAAAUUGUUAUAUUUUUUGACUACGAUGAGAUCCCGUAACCAAUAUUCUAUGACCCUCAAAAGUAAUAUAUGUCCUAUGAAGUAAAUAAAAUAAGUUGAAAAAUAAUAUUCUUUAUACUGUUAAUAUUCCUUCAUCUCAUGCCAGUUUUCAAUAUAACACUACUACAGAAUG
This 2015-nucleotide long non-coding RNA is filed under the name Sorghum bicolor (sorghum). RNAcentral describes it as "long non-coding RNA (SBIC_LNC018780)". The stretch from base 1396 to 1489 matches the Rfam family "MIR5387 microRNA precursor family". Lineage: Eukaryota; Viridiplantae; Streptophyta; Magnoliopsida; Poales; Poaceae. The record is from RNAcentral.